This 4348-nucleotide long non-coding RNA is filed under the name Canis lupus familiaris (dog). RNAcentral's name for it is "lncRNA (ENSCAFG00845025310.1)". The record is from RNAcentral. Lineage: Eukaryota; Metazoa; Chordata; Mammalia; Carnivora; Canidae.
UCUGCAGUCCUAAUCUGUGAGAAAGAAAGCUCUUUUGAUCUGUUAUUUCACAUCAACAUUUUACUGAUAUUGCAAGAAACACUAUCCUCUAAUUUUUAGGCACUGCUAUCCAGUACCUCACCUAAGUGCUUUGCUCUGCAAUCUGUGUUUGCUCAGAAGACUCCCUGCUGGUUCUACUCCCUACCUAGUUCUGCCCUUUAUGCCGGUGCCCUAAGGGGUGGUGCCAAGACUGCCUCUAUCAAAUCAGCUGGGUGCUUGCUAAAGUUCAAAUUUGGGUUUUCUCUUUAGAGAUACUGUACAUCUGGUGAUGGCACCCAGUUAUCUGGAUAUUAAUGAAUUUCCCAAGUGUUUUGUAGGUGAACUUAAAUGGAAGCAGCAGCGCUCUAUGCCUUAUGCCCACCAUUCUUUCCUUCUAGAAUGUCCUCUCACUCUUUCUAGCUAACUGUUUGAGUUGCUUGAAGACUGUCAGUUCAUCUGGUGCAGGUGCAAUUAUCUCUGUAAUCCCCAUAGUGCUGGCUUUGGUGCUUUGCACAUAUACACACACAGUGCAUGCUCAAUGAAUAAAUGACUGGUCCACUCUCUAGAGCCAGAAAUACAGAGAGGGCUGUGCUUCACUCAGAAACACAUUUCUUAAGGUGAAACGUCAACAAGCUAGUGUGGAAAAUAUUUUUAGGUAGUAAAUCGUUUUCGGUGACCCAGAUAUAAAGGCACGCAUAUGACCUCAUUUUUUGCUACCAGUGUGUAAGGUUGGACAUCAGAGGCUGCUCUUUCUCUUCAGGGUGGAUGGUGAACAAAUUAUUAUCUGAAAUAGUUAUUGUUGUCCAUCAUGAGGCCUCUGAAAGAUUUGCAGGGUACAAUCAAGGUGCUCCAAGGCCUUGCUUCCAGGAGUUCACUACGCUUACAAACCUUAGGUGGUGGAACAGUAGGCUGAGCAAUCUGCGGUUUCUAGAAACCUGGUUGUAUUAAUCCAGGAGCUCAGGUGCAUUAACCUGGGAACGAGGCAGUCUGCUCUGAGGGUGUCAAGGUGCAUCCAUGAUCUAUCUCACUGUCUGAAUGCCUGGAAAGCCUCUCCUUUACUGUGAUUCUCUAGUAAUGAAAGAGUUCUGUUCCAGAAAGGAGAUUCACACUUGACUUUUGUAAUACCUCAGUAGAAUGUGAGCUUCUUGGAGGAUAUUAUCUUAUUCAUCUUUUUAACACAAUAUCUGGCAUAUGGGAGUGGCUAAGAAAAGCUUGGCAGACAAAACCAUGAAUGAAUGUGUUGUUUUCCUGUAGCUUUGGAUUACUUACUGGUUUAAAAAUUAAAAUAAAAUAGAAUAAAAUAAAAAGUAUUGGCCCUAGGACAGCAAAUUUGUGAGCUGCAUUGAAAUUCUUGAGAAAAUACUGGUUUAUUGUUAUUAAAGUAUUAACUUGUUGUGCUAAAAUUCAGUGUCAUUCUCCCCAGCUCCACCCAUCUUGUAUUUUAGUUUUGCCUGCUCACUGCUAGGAUUUCUUUCUCUAUUUUCUUUUUCUCCUGACCAAAUGGAAAAACCUUGAGAUUAUUACAUGGCUUUGGCGUGAUUUCAGACCUCAGAUUUUAGCUGAUGAUCCCCCAAAUGGAUCAUCUUUCCCUCGCUACGUGAGGAAUAAGAAGGCUUACGAAGCCCUUACUCCAGAGGGUGGGGAGGGACGAGACAGGAGAGGCAAGCAUGAAGGCUCUUGUUAAGAUAGUGCAAACAACGACAUACAUUUAUUCAGGGGGAAAGGAGGGCAGCAUGGAAAUGUUAUUCCUCACUAAGUAGGGAGUUCUUUGCUAACCAGAGAACAGUACUGUUCACCUAGGUAGUGAAACCAAACAAAAAAUGCUGCCAUUUUGGAAAGCACGAUGGUAUAAUUAAGACAAAGUGCCUGGAUUAAAAUCCCAGUUCACUUAUGUUUGUACAACUUCAGCUAGUUUACUUUUACAAAUCAUUUAUUUUUCUCAUUUGUAAAAUGAGAAUGAUAAUACCUCCUUGCAAUAUUGUCAGAAAGGUCAGGGACAGUGAAUGCAAAGCAGUCAGUAAAGCACCUGGGACAAAGCAUGUGCUCAGUCAGUGGUUUUGGUCAUUAUUGUCAGAAUUUGGCAUUUAUGACAAUAAGGGGGGCCCUUACUCCGCCCUUGGCACUGGCAAAAUGAAUCCAAGGACGGUCCUGGCCCAAGAUUAGCAGAGCAGCUUCCCUUUGAAUUCCUCUCUAUUUAUUUAGUAUUGAAAGACUCUCUUUAUUCUCCGGCUUUCUUUCUCUUAUAUUUCCAUGCCAGUGUGCAGAGUUAAUUUAUUUAAAUUUAAAUUCUUGAUGCACUUUCCCUUUUAUGAGGCAUCUGUAAUGGAGCUGAUUUUUGGUUGGUGCUUGACCAGAUGUCUUUUUAUUGUUCUGAAAGGAGAAGAGAUGCUUAAUUGAGGAUGUCCAAAAUAUCAGGACCCUCUCAACAGAGCAGAUGAACUUGGCAUUACAAAAGAAAUCAGCCAGCCAGGGCUCAUGUAGGAAGACCCAUCCCCAGGUGCCGGGGAAAGUGUCAGAGCCCCAGUUCCUCUAUGCUGGAGGCCAGUUCUUCCAGCCUGAGGUUCUCUGCCUAUGAGCCUGUAUCACAUUUCCUCUCCUCCACCCAAUACCGAUAUUGGCUUUUCAGUGUAGUGUGAUAUUGGCCUCUGCUCAUUUUAGGGUCAUCCGCUUCACACAGGGCACAUUUUUAAAUGCAAAUGCCUAGUCAGAGCUCCCAGAUUCUGAUUUACCUUCAGAGAUUUGGUGAAUCAGCACAUGACCCCAUGAGGACUAUUUUAUUCAUUCAAUAAGCAGGUGCCACGUAUCUUUUAUGUGCCAGAUUCUGCUCUAGGAACUGGAGAUCCAUCAAUGAACAAGAGAGACAAAAAUCUCCACCUAUACAGAGUUUAUGUCUAUCAGAGAAAGAAAGGCAAUAAAUAGAACCAUUACAUAAAUUAUAUUAACACAUAAACAGUAAUAAGUUCUACAUAGAAAAACAAAGUAGGAGAAAGGGCCAUGGAUGACAUCUCAUGACUUUUCAAUAACUUCUUCGCUAUUUUAAAUCUGAAACUCACCUUUCUGCUUUUGGCCACAUUGCCUGACCAUUACCCGAGGGGCUUCCUUUGAUGAAUGAGGUGACUGUUUUCUGACGUGGCACAGGAUUCUCUGACUGUAGUCUCAUACGUUCAACCGGUGUGAGCCCCUUAUAUGACCUCUCUCUGCCUGUACUCUAGAGGACCUGUCCCAAUUUACUAAGUAACAAAGAGGAAAUGCUCUCUUUGAGAAGAAAAAAGAAAAAGGUGAUAGCAGAGAGUCAACAUGGAGACAGAGCUCCCUAGUAACGUGUAGUCGUGGUCGGUUGGCCUGAGGUUGGGUGGUAUCAGGGCGGUAAUUUGCCCCCUAGAUGGAAGGUCAGAUAAGGAAAGUCGUCUUCUGGCAUCAUCUCUUUGUCUAAAAGCAUUUGAAAGUGCUUGUCUCAGGAGUGGAUGAGAACUUAUGGUUGCUUUAAAGUUGCCUUAGAAACAGAUUAAUUGCUUGGCUUUGAUGCUUUCAGUCAGCAAGAAUUACAUUGAAGGGAAUUCCAGGUCCUGAUGAGUCAAGGAGUUCCUCUGAAUAACCUCAGCUGCCAAUCAGUAGAAUGAGAUUAUGCUACCUUGUGCGCUGGACUGACAGGAAUGCCAAACGGAUUUUUUCUCUCCAAGUCAGGUCCUCCUUGGUGGUCAAAACUGGCUGUGGCUUCCCACAAGGAACCCAGAGCUCUGCUGCCUGACUACUCUUUAGGACUCCCUCUGCAGUGAGGGCUCUUCCUCACUCUUUAUGGAGGCAGUUUGAUAAAAAUCUGUCUUGCAGGUGUAUGGUUCAUUCCUUUGACCUCUCCUUUCAAUGCUGGGGUCUGGGCUUUUUCAGAUGAAUAUCUUUUCACCCUGCCUCAUCAAUGCCAUUCACAACUGUAAUCUCUAGGUGCUGGGGUUGUCUGUUUGUUUCAAAAUAAAUAGUGAGCAGAAGACAAUCUGGGUAUUCUUAAUACUGUGCUGAAAGCUCAUUUGGAUGAUGUAAUGGAUGUUGCUAAGCAAGAACUGGCCCGAGAUGUGAGAAUUGAUUUGAAGGCACCAUGAAAACCAGCCUACCCCUUGUUACAGGGUACAGUAGAUCAGGGCAGAAUGUAAAAAAGCCAAGUGGAUGGGGAUUCCUGGGUGGCUCAGUGGUUUAGUGCCUGCCUUUGGCCUAGGGCACGAUCCUGCACUCCCGGGAUCGAGUCCUGCGUCAGGCUCCCGGUAUGGAGCCUGCUUCUCCCUCUGCCUCUCUCUCUCUCUCUCUUUCUCUCUAUCAUGAAUUAAAAAAAAAAAAAAAA